UUAGGAAUUUUGCGCAAUGGGGGAAACCCUGACGCAGCAACGCCGCGUGAGUGACGAAGGCCUUCGGGUUGUAAAGCUCUUUCGAUAGGGGCGAAAAAAAUGACGGUACCUAUAGAAGAAGCACCGGCUAACCCUGUGCCAGCAGCCGCGGUAAUACAGGGGGUGCAAGCGUUAUUCGGAAUCACUGGGCGUAAAGAGCGCGUAGGCGGUUUGGUAAGUCUGAUGUGAAAGCCCUGGACUCAAUCCAGGAAGUGCAUUGGAUACUGCUAAACUAGAGUAUAGGAGAGGUGAGCGGAAUUCCUGGUGUAGAGGUGAAAUUCGUAGAUAUCAGGAGGAACAACAGCGGCGAAGGCGGCUCACUGGACUAUAACUGACGCUGAGGCGCGAAAGCGUGGGUAGC
This 400-nucleotide ribosomal RNA is filed under the name uncultured bacterium. Its description in RNAcentral is "bacterial SSU rRNA". It matches the Rfam family "Bacterial small subunit ribosomal RNA", at positions 355 to 769 of the family's 1533-position model. The record is from RNAcentral.